GUCCGGAGACGUCGGCGGGGGC
Molecule: small nuclear RNA, 22 nt
Filed under: Arabidopsis thaliana (thale cress)
Lineage: Eukaryota; Viridiplantae; Streptophyta; Magnoliopsida; Brassicales; Brassicaceae
Description: snRNA_16732
Source: RNAcentral